This 229-nucleotide ribosomal RNA is filed under the name uncultured bacterium. RNAcentral's name for it is "partial 16S ribosomal RNA". It matches the Rfam family "Bacterial small subunit ribosomal RNA", at positions 104 to 334 of the family's 1533-position model. The record is from RNAcentral.
CGGGGUGAGUAAUGCUUGGGAAUCUAGCUUAUGGAGGGGGAUAACUACGGGAAACUGUAGCUAAUACCGCGUAGUAUCGGAAGAUGAAAGUGUGGGACCUUCGGGCCACAUGCCAUAGGAUGAGCCCAAGUGGGAUUAGGUAGUUGGUGAGGUAAAGGCUCACCAAGCCGACGAUCUCUAGCUGGUCUGAGAGGAUGACCAGCCACACUAGGACUGAGACACGGCCCAG